This 408-nucleotide ribosomal RNA is filed under the name uncultured bacterium. RNAcentral's name for it is "partial 16S ribosomal RNA". It matches the Rfam family "Bacterial small subunit ribosomal RNA", at positions 28 to 526 of the family's 1533-position model. The record is from RNAcentral.
GACGAACGCUGGCGGCGUGCUUAACACAUGCAAGUCGAACGAAGUGGCGAACGGGUGAGUAACGCGUAAUCAAGCUGCUCUUCAGAGGGGGACAACAGGUGGAAACGACUGCUAAUACCGCAUACUGAAGGAGGGGAUGGCGUCGGAUUAGCUAGUUGGAGGGGUAACGGCCCACCAAGGCGAUGAUCAGUAGCCGGUCGGAGGGGAUGAACGGCCACAUUUGGACUGGGACCCGGCCCAGACUCCUGCGGGAAGCAGCAGUGGGGAAUCUUCCGCAAUGGACGAAAGUCUGACGGAGCAACGCCGCGUGAGUGAUGACGGCCUUCGGGUUGUAAAGCUCUGUUAAUCGGGACGCGGUACCGGAAUAGAAAGCCACGGCUAACUACGUGCCAGCAGCCGCGGUAAUAC